CCAUGUUAAAAUCUGACAUAAAUAGGAAUAAAUAGUUGGUUAAAAGUCUGUAGACAGAAAAUAACGUCGCUGUUCCUUUAAGGAACCAACGUUACAGUCUGGGUGACGCUGCAGUACGCAGAACUGAGGGAGAGAGCAGGGGAGGAAUCGGAGGAAAAGAGCUGUGAUUAAUUAACAGGAAAAGUUAUUGUAGUAAAAAAAAACAACAUAAUUUACCUGGUCGGGAACUGACGGGGGUUUUAUGAGAACUAAGUUACAUCGGUUUUGGUCAGGUUUUUUUGUCCGGUCGGAGCAAGGAUUGGUCUGCCAUGUGCGGCGUGCACAUUCACAGAUGGGAUUCAAGAUGGCGAGCCAGACCAAAACUUCAAUUCAUCUUCUCCAUCGCAUCAGAGAGGGACUCUCCCGCGUGUGGUAAUCCGCUGCAGGAUCGGUAGGAAUAUCAGGAACUAGUUCGAACUGAACUGAAUAGAACUGAGAACCGAUUGAAUUAUUAUCUUUUUGGAUUGAAUCAAACUGAGACUUUUCAUUGAACUGAGUACCUGGAUUUACAUUUGGACCUGAACUUGAAUUUAAAGUGCCAUACUUUGAUUUUCAUAUGUUUAUGUCUCUGAAUGUGAUUUGAGUAAUUGUGGUCCACUUUGAUUUAAUUGUGUUUGAAGGUAUUUUCCUACCUGUAAAAGAAAGGAAAAUGAGUUAACUCAGGAGAAAAAUAGAAAUCUUAAAAUAGGUGCAACCUAGGAAAAAGAGACCGGUCUAAUUAACUCAAAUUAGUCUGAUUAAAAUAACCUAGG
Long non-coding RNA from Xiphophorus couchianus (Monterrey platyfish), 791 nucleotides. RefSeq lists it as uncharacterized. The record is from RefSeq and is a predicted model, not a curated record. Lineage: Eukaryota; Metazoa; Chordata; Actinopteri; Cyprinodontiformes; Poeciliidae. The transcript has 2 exons.